AAUACAGAGACUAAAUAGUAAUUUUCCUUGAAAAAUAUAUUUAACAUUGAAGGGGGGAUAAUUAUUAUCCCUUCAAUUUUGAUUGGAAAGCAAAGUGGGAUUUGAAGGAAUAACUAAUCAUUUCUUGUCCUACCCUUUAUGGCCUUAUUAAACUCCCAAACAAUGAAUCUCUCUUAUCCAUUUGCCUUUCCAUUUCUAAUCCGUUUCGAUCCUGUUAUGAUAAGGAAAAUAAGGUGUGUUGAAAAUAAGUAGAAGGUCUUUGGGAUUGAAAUUGUAAUAAAAGAAUAGUAUGGAAGUCAGUAGAGUCGGCUGAGAAUUAGUUAGAACUGUUACUACUUAACUGAAAUCAGUGUAGAAGCCGUAUAAAUACAACUAUCUGAGAGUGCUGGAUCUUUAAUCAAUCUCAAGAAUCUAAUAG
RNAcentral lists this unclassified non-coding RNA (418 nucleotides) under Hevea brasiliensis (rubber tree). Lineage: Eukaryota; Viridiplantae; Streptophyta; Magnoliopsida; Malpighiales; Euphorbiaceae. The record is from RNAcentral.